GCAAGUCGAACGCAGAGAUGCAGUAAUGUGUUUCUGAGUGGCGAAUGGGUGCGUAACACGUAGGUGAUCUGCCCAGAAGUGUGGAAUAACAGUCCGAAAGGACUGCUAAUACCGCAUGUGGCGCUUGGGGUUAGAGGCCCGAGCGCGAAAGGUCUUCGGAUCGCUUCUGGAGGAGCCUGCGGCCCAUCAGGUAGUUGGUAGGGUAAUGGCCUACCAAGCCAACGACGGGUAGGGGACCUCAGAGGGUGGCCCCCCACACUGGCACUGACACACGGGCCAGACUCCUACGGGAGGCAGCAGUCGGGAAUAUUGCCCAAUGCGCGAAAGCGUGAGGCAGCAACGCCGCGUGCGCGAUGAAGGCCUUCGGGUCGUAAAGCGCUUUUCAGUGGGAUGAGGAAGGACAGUACCACUGGAAUAAGGUACGGCUAACUACGUGCCAGCAGCCGCGGUAAAACGUAGGUACCGAGCGUUAUCCGGAUUUACUGGGCGUAAAGCGUGUUCAGGCGGUCUAGCAAGUCGGGCAUGAAAUCUCUCGGCUCAACCGGGAGGGGUUGUCCGAUACUGCUGGACUGGAGGGCAGCAGAGGGUGGUGGAAUUCCGGGUGUAGUGGUGAAAUGCGUAGAUAUCCGGAGGAACACCAGUGGCGAAGGCGGCCACCUGGGCUGUACCUGACGCUAACACACGAAAGCUAGGGGAGCGAACGGGAUUAGAAACCCCGGUAGUCCUAGCCGUAAACGAUGUUGACUAGGUGUCGACGGUCUAAACCCCGCCGGUGCCGGAGCUAACGCACGAAGUCAACCGCC
Molecule: ribosomal RNA, 803 nt
Filed under: uncultured bacterium
Lineage: Bacteria
Description: bacterial SSU rRNA
Rfam family: Bacterial small subunit ribosomal RNA
Source: RNAcentral